UGGGGAAUUGUUCGCAAUGGGCGCAAGCCUGACGACGCAACGCCGCGUGGAGGAUGAAGACCUUCGGGUCGUAAACUCCUUUCGAUCGAGAUGAAUGGCCUUCGGGUGAACAACCCGGAGGAAUGACAGUACCGAGAGAAGAAGCCCCGGCUAACUCCGUGCCAGCAGCCGCGGUAAUACGGGGGGGGCAAGCGUUGUUCGGAAUUACUGGGCGUAAAGGGCUUGUAGGUGGCCAACUAAGUCAGACGUGAAAUCCCUCGGCUUAACCGGGGAACUGCGUCUGAUACUGGAUGGCUUGAGUGUGGGAGAGGGAUGCGGAAUUCCAGGUGUAGCGGUGAAAUGCGUAGAUAUCUGGAGGAACACCGGUGGCGAAGGCGGCAUCCUGGACCAUUACUGACACUGAAAAGCGAAAGCCAGGGGAGCAAACG
This 428-nucleotide ribosomal RNA is filed under the name uncultured bacterium. RNAcentral's name for it is "bacterial SSU rRNA". It matches the Rfam family "Bacterial small subunit ribosomal RNA", at positions 355 to 774 of the family's 1533-position model. The record is from RNAcentral.